AUGUCCACCGGAGGGUUUUCGCUAAAUCCGUGCACCAAGGUGGAGGACGCGGUCUCCUGCGAGAAGGUUCAGCCCGCCACCAAAAGGAAGGCCCGGGCCGCCCGUCGUGGCCAUCCGAGCAAGGGCUGCAGUUCCGAGGGAGAUGGGGCUGCCGAGAAGAUGCAGGCGGUCGCCGGCUUCUCUGAGGAGCACAAGAUCUCGAAGCAGAAGCAGGAGCAUGAGGAAUUGGCCUGUGAUAUCAUCAAUAAGAAGGAUGACGGUGAGCUCCUCUCUGCCGAAGAAUUUGACGCGUUCAUAGCUAUGAUGGAAGAGAAACACGAGAGGCUUUGGGCAGAGUACACGCCUGAUGGCGUACAAGUGAUGGAGUACAAAAGAUUACUCCUCAUAUCCCAAGGAUAA
Molecule: ribosomal RNA, 399 nt
Filed under: Triticum aestivum (bread wheat)
Lineage: Eukaryota; Viridiplantae; Streptophyta; Magnoliopsida; Poales; Poaceae
Description: partial small subunit ribosomal RNA
Source: RNAcentral